AACGCUAGCUACAGGCUUAACACAUGCAAGUCGAGGGGAAACGACAUCGAAAGCUUGCUUUUGAUGGGCGUCGACCGGCGCACGGGUGAGUAACGCGUAUCCAACCUGCCCACCACUUGGGGAUAACCUUGCGAAAGUAAGACUAAUACCCAAUGAUAUCUCUAGAAGACAUCUGAAAGAGAUUAAAGAUUUAUCGGUGAUGGAUGGGGAUGCGUCUGAUUAGCUUGUUGGCGGGGUAACGGCCCACCAAGGCGACGAUCAGUAGGGGUUCUGAGAGGAAGGUCCCCCACAUUGGAACUGAGACACGGUCCAAACUCCUACGGGAGGCAGCAGUGAGGAAUAUUGGUCAAUGGACGAGAGUCUGAACCAGCCAAGUAGCGUGCAGGAUGACGGCCCUAUGGGUUGUAAACUGCUUUUAUAAGGGAAUAAAGUGAGUCUCGUGAGACUUUUUGCAUGUACCUUAUGAAUAAGGACCGGCUAAUUCCGUGCCAGCAGCCGCGGUAAUACGGAAGGUCCGGGCGUUAUCCGGAUUUAUUGGGUUUAAAGGGAGCGUAGGCCGGAGAUUAAGCGUGUUGUGAAAUGUAGACGCUCAACGUCUGCACUGCAGCGCGAACUGGUUUCCUUGAGUACGCACAAAGUGGGCGGGAUUCGUGGUGUAGCGGUGAAAUGCUUAGAUAUCACGAAGAACUCCGAUUG
RNAcentral lists this ribosomal RNA (696 nucleotides) under uncultured bacterium. RNAcentral describes it as "bacterial SSU rRNA". It matches the Rfam family "Bacterial small subunit ribosomal RNA", at positions 32 to 715 of the family's 1533-position model. The record is from RNAcentral.